Molecule: long non-coding RNA, 387 nt
Organism: Osmia lignaria (orchard mason bee)
Lineage: Eukaryota; Metazoa; Arthropoda; Insecta; Hymenoptera; Megachilidae
Source: RefSeq, a predicted model, not a curated record
UGCGACCUAAUAUUUUUAAAUAAAUAUAAAAAACUAAAAAUAAACAUCGUAUAAAAUGUAAGAUAUUUAUUUCACACCAGUGUAAAAGAAAAAUUGUUAUAGUUUAUGAAAUUGAAAGGUCUGUAAGGGUGAGACCGAAUUGACCGUUACAAUCAAUGAUCUGGAUGCUCAACAAACUGGUAUUAGAAGAAAGCUAAGGAUGCUAUUCUUCGUUGAAGUAUGGAAAUCGAUCACCGGAAAGCAGGAAACUAUGAAAGUUCCCCAGCUCAGUUCUACAGUAGAUACUAAGCAACGGACUCCUACAAUAAAGAAACAGCAUGCAGCAAACCGAAACUUCUCGCCUGUAGCGGCUCAGCCCUAUUGCCGUACUGUUUCUUUCAACAAACG